RNAcentral lists this ribosomal RNA (507 nucleotides) under Staphylococcus sp. Its description in RNAcentral is "bacterial SSU rRNA". It matches the Rfam family "Bacterial small subunit ribosomal RNA", at positions 23 to 512 of the family's 1533-position model. Lineage: Bacteria; Bacillati; Bacillota; Bacilli; Caryophanales; Staphylococcaceae. The record is from RNAcentral.
CUCAGGAUGAACGCUGGCGGCGUGCCUAAUACAUGCAAGUCGAGCGAACAGAUAAGGAGCUUGCUCCUUUGACGUUAGCGGCGGACGGGUGAGUAACACGUGGAUAACCUACCUAUAAGACUGGGAUAACUUCGGGAAACCGGAGCUAAUACCGGAUAACAUAUUGAACCGCAUGGUUCAAUAGUGAAAGGCGGCUUUGCUGUCACUUAUAGAUGGAUCCGCGCCGUAUUAGCUAGUUGGUAAGGUAACGGCUUACCAAGGCAACGAUACGUAGCCGACCUGAGAGGGUGAUCGGCCACACUGGAACUGAGACACGGUCCAGACUCCUACGGGAGGCAGCAGUAGGGAAUCUUCCGCAAUGGGCGAAAGCCUGACGGAGCAACGCCGCGUGAGUGAUGAAGGUCUUCGGAUCGUAAAACUCUGUUAUCAGGGAAGAACAAAUGUGUAAGUAACUGUGCACAUCUUGACGGUACCUGAUCAGAAAGCCACGGCUAACUACGUGCCAGC